AUACGUAGGGGGCGAGCGUUGUCCGGAAUGAUUGGGCGUAAAGGGCGCGUAGGCGGCCCGGUAAGUCUGGAGUGAAAGUCCUGUUUUUAAGAUGGGAAUUGCUUUGGAUACUGUCGGGCUUGAGUGCAGGAGAGGUAAGUGGAAUUCCCAGUGUAGCGGUGAAAUGCGUAGAGAUUGGGAGGAACACCAGUGGCGAAGGCGACUUACUGGACUGUAACUGACGCUGAGGCACGAAAGUGUGGGGAGCAAACAGGAUUAGAUACCCUGGUAGUCCACACUGUAAACGAUGAAUGCUAGGUGUAAGAGGUAUCGACCCCUUUUGUGCCGGAGUUAACACAAUAAGCAUUCCGCCUGGGGAGUACGGCCGCAAGGUUGAAACUCAAAGGAAUUGGCGGGG
Molecule: ribosomal RNA, 397 nt
Filed under: uncultured bacterium
Lineage: Bacteria
Description: partial 16S ribosomal RNA
Rfam family: Bacterial small subunit ribosomal RNA
Source: RNAcentral